Sus scrofa (pig) is the source of this 3516-nucleotide non-coding RNA. NCBI's taxonomy places the organism in Eukaryota, Metazoa, Chordata, Mammalia, Artiodactyla, Suidae. The record is from RefSeq and is a predicted model, not a curated record.
GCCUGCCUGUGGCAUAUGGAAGUUCCCAGGCCAGGAGUGACGAUGCUAAAUCUUUAACUAGUAGGCCACCAGGGAACUCCAGUUUUUAGCUUUUAUCUCAGUUUAGUUGUUUCUGCUCAGAGGCAAUGUCCUAAUAAAAAUUUCUUAUAUAUAAGUAUGUAAUGAAAAUUCAAAGAUAAAAUAGUGUCAUCAAAAGUAUUUGGGGGGAGUUCCCACUGUGGCUCAGCAGUAAAGAACCUGACUAGUAUCCAUGAGGACAUGAGUUCAGUCCCUGGCCUUGCUCAGUGAGUUAAGGAUCAGGCAUUGUCUUCAGCUUCAAUGUAGGCAGCAAAGGUGGCUUGGAUCUAGCAUUGUGGUAAAGGCCGGCAGCUACAGCUCUGAUUCAACUCCUAGCCUGGGAACCUCCAUAUGCCAUGGGUGAGGCUCUAAAGAGACAAAAAAAUAAUUUUUUUUUUGUAGGAGUUUCCGCUGUGGUGCAGUGGAGUAAGGAUCCAACAGAUCUGACUUGACUUCUGUCCCUGGCUGGAGAACUUCCAUAUGCUGCAGGUAUUAUAAAGAGGCAUAUGAGUGGAUGAGAUGACCAAGGAUAUGGAUGAAGAAAGAUAAAGACCAAAGAUGGAACCCUGGGGCACUCCAACAAUAAGAGAUCAGGAAGAAGAGUAAGACUCAGAAAAGAAGACCAGAAAGGAGCAAAUCAGAGGUGUGGAGAAAAGCUAAGAGAGAAUGGUAUCUUAGAAGCCAAAAGAAGAAGGUAAUGCAGAGAGGAUCAAGUCAUCAAGAGUCAAAUGCUUCUGAGGCACAAAUGUCUACGGAGUUCAUGGCUAGAGCAGGCAAAAGCCACCGUGGAGAAACAACAGUGGGAGAAAAGAUCUUGAACAGCAGGAUUUUGUAAAAAGACAACUAACAGCAUAAAUGCCACACUGGCUCGAGGCUCUUUCUGUAUUCUUUGGACCAGGCAACUUGAAGAUAACAUUCUAUUCCCAGACUGCUGAAAAUCAAAUACGGACUGGUGAGCUCAUCUCAGUUUUUCCUCUUCAUAUCUGACGGCCACAAGUAAAAAUGGGCUUGCUGUAAUCAUUAGAAAUUGUUGUAAAACUAAAUAAUUGCUUGUCCAAUUCUGCAGUGUUUUCAUCUGACAUUCAAUAUGCCCCCAAGGAUAAGGGGGCUGGUUGAUAAGCGCAGCAAUUUACCAGAAACACUGCAGAAGAUUUUAAGCGGGGAAAGCCAGCCAGAGUCCAGGAGGGGAGAAGGAGGAAGAAGAGAGGGUGCGGCCAACUUGAACAGAGAUGAACUGAGUCUUGGGGGAGGCUGUGUUCUCUAAAACCAACAGGGUUGUUUGGGCACUUCGUGUUUUAGAGAUAAUUAGAUGCCUAAAAGUGAAACCAUCACCCUGCCUUUAGCAGUUUGGAGCGCUGUCUUAUUAUCACAUGUUAUGAUAAUGCCAUGAAGCUAUAAUCUCAGGUUCAGACGGCUGACCCUACCUCUCCAUCUGAAGAGAAGGGGAUGGGGUGGGGAAAUGUGUCUAUAGAAGCUUUAAUAUCUGAGAAGAAUGUGCUUCUAUCAGCCCCAUUUAUCAUGUCAUGUUUACUGGGGAUGUCAGGUUAGUUAAACAGAUUCCUUGGCCCUGAUUUAUACUGUUUCCUCUGGAAUCCACAUUCUAUAAGCCUGCUUGGGUAUAUCAGUCACAAAUCUUGGUAGGUUAUAUAGGUAAACUACUCCAGACAAUGAUUAUUUUGUAGGGAGGAUAUGUGUGUGUGAUCAUCUAAAUUAUCUCUUGCAAGGAUAAGAUUAAUGCAAAUGAACUUAAAAGAGUAGAAAGUCUUAGAGUCUGAGGUGAAAGGAAAGACUUCUUGAAAUGCAGGAUUUCUAAUACAAAUACUGGGAAGGGCUUGUGAAAAAGGCCUGGUAUCUCCUUUAAAAAUAGUAUAGACACGGCUACAUUUGUGUGUUCAAUGCCUUUUCACUCUUGGGAGUAUUUUAUGCCUCUUUGAGAACUUCUUGGAAGGAAUGAAGUUCUUCCUAGAAAAGACACGUCAGGUUUUUCAUAUGGGAAUUGGGGGGCUUCUUAACUGUGCUGUGUAUCUCACAGUCAAGGAAGAACAGUGUGGUCAGAAAAACAAAGAUGGUCAGGAAUGAGCUGGGGACAAAUACCUAAUUGACAAAUAGAUAUGGCUCACAUCCUUGCGCAUCGAACUGACACUUGGAAUAUAACAGCCGUUCAGUAAAAACAUGCUGGAUGAAUAAGUGAAAGUCAAGUUGCUGGUAACUCCUAGCUCGGGCACCCUCUAGAUGAGGACGUGUUAGAGGGAGAAGUAUGGGACACUGUGGCAAGGAGAGUUGUGGUUGCUGCUGAGGUUUGCUCCCUGGGGAGUUUUGGAAUACAUUUCAGCUCCAAGAUGGAAUUUCAGCCUGCAUUUCCAUAAUCCCUUUAGGGGAAACAGGCUGACACCUGUUUAUGUUGUGAGAGUCCCAUGGGAAUACUUCACAGCAAACUGUGUUUCCCUCUCAGUAUCAGUUACCUGGACAAUUAAAGAGAACCCCUGCCCAGCCCUUAUUGCUUUAUGAAAUCCUUCUGGUAGCAGAAAUCAGGAUACCUGUCUGUAAACAGUCACAGGUGAGAAAAUGCUCAAGGUUUCAAUAGACAGGUAAAAGCCAGCCUUGGAACAUAUCCUACAAGCUGUUCAAAUACUUUCUCCAUGAGAAAUAACAGCCUCCUUAAUCCCAUAAUCUUCUCUAUCGCCAUCUUUUCCCAGUGCUCCAAACUGCAGUGUUUUGCUUGUAAUAAGAUCAUGUGUGAUGCUAAUUAGUACGUGAAUUGUGUUGACUUCUCUGUUUAUAAUGAUUAGUGUUUCAGUAUGUUCUUAGCACAUCAAAAUGGCAUUUUUUUCCCUGCCCAAUUGUUUACUGUCAGAGAGUAGCUUGUCGCUAGAGUUUGACAGUGGAAAAUACAAUACAGAGUAUUAGACAUUCUGAAAUAAGCAACAUAUCCCAUGCCAGAUUGUGUGGAGAGGGCAGAAAAGAGCUUCCAAAGAGUGAAUGUGUGAUUUAACUUGUGACUGAGAGCAGUUCAACUUCUGUUGAGCAAAGGAUGCUUGUAUUAUUAUUAAUUUCACAUCUGAGUGAUGACAGUGUGCUUAGUUCCAUAUGAGAUCACAGGACCAUGUACUUUCACUCAUCUGCCAUAAUUUUCAUGAACUUUUAACUAAUCACCCAACUGCUGCUGAGGCAUCAGUGCUUGUUCUCAAUGUGGAAUGUGUCCAACUUGGCUGCAAUCAUGUUCUUCAGUUACACUAAAAAAAUAGGUCUAAGUGAGGUCGAAUCUGCUAAUUUCAGUAAAUUUACAUGAGGCAGAUGAUGGGGAAUCAUUACUCUUUUGGAGAACCAAUUGCUUAAAUUAGAAGUUAAACUGUUUGAACAGGAGUUCCCACUGUGGUUCAAUGAGUUAAAGACCCAACAUAGUCUCCAAGAGGAUGCAAGUUUGAUCCCUGGCCUCGCUCAGUGGGUUAAGGAUCUAGC